Molecule: unclassified non-coding RNA, 1434 nt
Filed under: Yarrowia lipolytica
Lineage: Eukaryota; Fungi; Ascomycota; Dipodascomycetes; Dipodascales
Source: RNAcentral
AAAAAGACAACAUGUUGUGAGCGACACUCAGACCUCCAAGUCGCACAAAAGUGGUCAAUUGACCUUUUCCGUGCCUCAGCAAAUUUCCUGAACGUCAGUAGAGAUUGUGAGACCUGUGAGACAACGGACUCAGUCAACUACAGGUAGUGGAUCUGUGUGUGUGAUCCUGUUAGUGUGUGAAUCUGUCCUCAUACUUGAACCUCCAGAUCUGCAUCUGCAUCUGCAUCUUGACCUACGGUACUCUCCUCUUCCUGCACCACUUAGUGGUUACAUUCAGUGCACUAACAAUGGCGACAUUAGUGUCACGUAUCAAUCCGGUGAAGUAACUGCCAGGUGGAGUUCUGACCCAGCUAAACUCUUCCGAUGGCGGCGCUAGACCAGAGCAGAACUGGUAACCAGAAAGUGGUGGUAAGAUGGGAGUCUCAUCAUUCUGAAGUUCGGUGAGUGUGUCAUACCGGUACAGAUAUGGAGUUGCUGGUCUCAUUGAGUGAACAAGUCGGACUGAAUCUCUUUCCGCACAACAUUUUCACAUCUGACUUGUGACCACACAGCUCGAGAGCAUAAUCCAUCACCGCCCAGUUCCUAGACCGAAGCAAACAUGUUGCGCGUCCCAGAGGCAGCUACAGUGCUCAUACCUUGUACAGUCUUGUACAAGUUGGUCACAUUACAUACUGUGCUGUGUACAGUAUGUACUGUGACUGUAGGAGAUUGUGGGGGGAAGUGUCGGAGAACACUUACGUGGAAACAGUUGACGUGAUUUGGAAUCAGUCCACGUGAAAUCAGAUCACCUUCGCCAUUAACGUAACUAAGCGUGGUGGUCUCCAUCUCGUGAACAGCCGCAUGAAAACACACUAAAAUGCCAGGGACUAACAACCGAUUUAAUGGCAGGAACACCAGGGGUCAAAAUAUGUGUCAUCUACGUCGUCUGCGUCACAUGAUUUUGAUUUUAGUCAGAUGUAUCAUUCUGCAGCCUGGUUUAGUUCUACAGGGACACAUUGUGGGAUGCGUGUGUGGUAUGGGACAGGGACAAGUCUGAGUCAGCGGAAGAGAAGAGGCGAAAUGAGUCAGCUAAGCACCAGGGGCUAAUAUGAACCAGUUAAGCUGCAACCAAUCACUCCAAUUUCCCCAAUUGUUGCUCAACAACAGAUAUCUGGUCGCUUCUAAUGGACUAUUACUAACCCCGGUUUCUAACCAGCUCACUCUGAUCUCCUCCGAGUCACUUCCGAUCUCUAAGCACAUUUCAUACAACAAUUGGUACUAGUCCUAAAAGAGUCAGGAUAGACGAGACAAAGAAGGACAACAAUGCAACAACAAUGCGAGCGUUUUAAAAGGUGGGGUACAGUAGUCGAUUUACACCCGUCUAGUUUAGUCUGGAGCUGUUGGUACUGGUAGGGCUGUCAUGUGCUUCGAGUAGCUACAAGUAGUACGAAGGUC